This is a long non-coding RNA of Artibeus jamaicensis (Jamaican fruit-eating bat), 901 nucleotides long. RefSeq lists it as uncharacterized. The record is from RefSeq and is a predicted model, not a curated record. The transcript has 4 exons. Lineage: Eukaryota; Metazoa; Chordata; Mammalia; Chiroptera; Phyllostomidae.
UUCUGGGAGAAGUCGUCAGGCUCUUAAAAAAGACACAUGUGGGAAGAAAUGUGUCAUGUCUAGAUCUGAUGUCUACAGUCGUGGCAACAAGUUUGUGCCCAGGACAGAGCUCAUCUGAGGAUGAGGCCGAAGUCUGAAACAGCUGGGAAGAAAGAUGAAUUCUUGGUGAGAUUGUGGAGCUGCUGAAUUAAGCAAACGUGAAACUGUCUACAUCUGGAUUUCUCGUUGACAGUGACCUUGGCUGCUGAACAAAACCUUGGCUUCAAAAGAAAGGGCAUCACUUUGUCAAAAAUGUGUGUGUUAUGGAAGAGGUUGAGAAACACUCUCUUUAAGGAAGGUUCACCCUCUCCUGUCUAUUUGCUGUUGUUCCUGGGAGCCUUUCCUGAUCUUGAAGUUUGGGUGUAAGUGCCUCCUCCCGAAUGAUCAUCAAACAAUUUAACAAGUGAUGGUCACUAUUAACAAGCCUGGCAAGCUGAUGGAACAGGGCCCCCUGCUGGGUCAGGGGGAAGGAGAACUGUGAACCACUUUUCAGUGGACCAAAAGGUUGGUAGACGCCUUCAAUGGAACGUUAUGCCUGGUGCACAGCAAACUUUCUAGGCUGUCUGACUCAGUGGGGUUUGGGCCUUUCGUUGUCUUUCAGUUACCCUACAACUCUGUAGAGAAAGAAGUUAACUUGCAGAAGACUGGUAGUAAUGCAAAUAAUUCUUGUCCAUAGACUUGCCAAAAAUAUUAUCUGGUGAAUAUUCAGUUGACUUCUCUCCCCCAAGGUUGUACCUACUGGGCAAAUUAAUUGUAACAUAUCUGAUGGGCUUAUAUAUUUGUCUGGUCUUUGAAUUCUCCCCUAAACUGGUUGAACACUUUUUCUGUUUCCCUUAUUAGUUAAUACAUGAGUUGAAUAAAA